RNAcentral lists this ribosomal RNA (292 nucleotides) under uncultured bacterium. Its description in RNAcentral is "partial 16S ribosomal RNA". It matches the Rfam family "Bacterial small subunit ribosomal RNA", at positions 505 to 796 of the family's 1533-position model. The record is from RNAcentral.
GUGUCAGCAGCCGCGGUAAUACGAGAGGUCCAAACGUUAUUCGGAAUCACUGGGCUUACAGAGUUCGUAGGCGGUCCAGAAAGUGGGGUGUGAAAGCCCUCGGCUCAACCGAGGAACUGCGCUCCAAACUACUGGGCUAGAGGAAGAUAGAGGUGAGCAGAACUGAUGGUGGAGCGGUGAAAUGCGUUGAUAUCAUCAGGAAUACCGGAGGCGAAGGCGGCUCACUGGGUCUUUUCUGACGCUGAGGAACGAAAGCUAGGGGAGCAAACGGGAUUAGAUACCCUUGUAGUCC